RNAcentral lists this ribosomal RNA (496 nucleotides) under uncultured bacterium. RNAcentral's name for it is "partial 16S ribosomal RNA". It matches the Rfam family "Bacterial small subunit ribosomal RNA", at positions 28 to 506 of the family's 1533-position model. The record is from RNAcentral.
GAUGAACGCUGGCGGCGUGCCUAAUACAUGCAAGUCGAGCGAACAGACGAGGAGCUUGCUCCUCUGACGUUAGCGGCGGACGGGUGGGUAACACGUGGAUAACCUACCUAUAAGACUGGGAUAACUUCGGGAAACCGGAGCUAAUACCGGAUAAUAUAUUGAACCGCAUGGUUCAAUAGUGAAAGACGGUUUUGCUGUCACUUAUAGAUGGAUCCGCGCCGCAUUAGCUAGUUGGUAAGGUAACGGCUUACCAAGGCGACGAUGCGUAGCCGACCUGAGAGGGUGAUCGGCCACACUGGAACUGAGACACGGUCCAGACUCCUACGGGAGGCAGCAGUAGGGAAUCUUCCGCAAUGGGCGAAAGCCUGACGGAGCAACGCCGCGUGAGUGAUGAAGGUCUUCGGAUCGUAAAACUCUGUUAUUAGGGAAGAACAAAUGUGUAAGUAACUAUGCACGUCUUGACGGUACCUAAGCAGAAAGCCACGGCUAACUACGU